CGAGAAAGAUCUUUAAUCGGGU
This 22-nucleotide microRNA is filed under the name Ananas comosus (pineapple). Its description in RNAcentral is "microRNA s0062_c035". The record is from RNAcentral. Lineage: Eukaryota; Viridiplantae; Streptophyta; Magnoliopsida; Poales; Bromeliaceae.